Long non-coding RNA from Passer domesticus (house sparrow), 2225 nucleotides. RefSeq lists it as uncharacterized. The record is from RefSeq and is a predicted model, not a curated record. Lineage: Eukaryota; Metazoa; Chordata; Aves; Passeriformes; Passeridae. The transcript has 7 exons.
GCGGGAGUCCCAUAUGUUCAUUUCUAAAGAAGGCUAAGUCUCAGGAGGCUCAAGUAAUUGUGGUCAUCUGCUGCAUCAGUGUGAUUUAUUUAGCCAUACUGUGUGAUUUCCUCCUCCUUAUAUUUGGGAUUCUCUCCACAGAAGCUGGGCCAUUUAGGAAUGGCAAAUAUUCUCAAUUCUGAACAAUUGAGAAUGAGCAAUAUGGCUGUAUCCAUUUCAAAAGAUUUUAUGUUCUCUGUAUAAGUACCUACCACAUUACAAUGUGGUUAGGCUUGUACAUGGUUUUGUAUGUAAUUCUAAUAAAAUGCCUGUGCAACUCAGAAAUAGUUUACAGUAUCAACUAAAACCUGCAAUGCCUGAGUAAGGAUAAAAAGGAGAUGCCUGAUUUGAGUAUACCCAUAGAAAAAAAGACUUCUAUGCAGUUCUGUCAGCAAAAAUAUGACCAGUACUCCUGAGCAGUGGUCCUGCCUGAACAUGUUUCUGUAUUUCAUUGCCUCAGUAGAAGCCCUCCAGAUGGCCAUGUGAUUGCUGCUGCUGCUGCUUCACGUGAUCCAGCUUUCUGGCACAAAGGCUCUGAGCUCGUACAGAUGAUUGUUAAACGUCAUGAGACUCUGAAAGGUAGAGUAGGCAAGAGGAGGAGGAAGCCAAGAAAAGAACUGUGUGGGAGUUACAGUGAAAAAUGAAUUUGGGCAAAAAAAAAUGAAGCACUGAAGAAGCAGCGGGAGGGAUAGGAAGAAAAUCAGUUGACGAUCAUGUUCAUAGGAGCAGUGGAGGAGGAAGAGAGACCAAGAAGAUAAAAAUGGCUGAUGGCAUCAAAAGCAGUAUGGAAAGAAGAGUAAAGAACUGGCUGGGGGGUUGGGCCAGGGAAGAGCUGUUGGUAACAUCCAAAAGAGCUGUUUUGGCCUAGCCUGCUUGGAAACUGGAUGGGUGAGGGAUGUGGCCUGAGGGCCAAGCUGGGUCUCUGUGGUCAUCCCCUAUAAUUUCCUGCUGAACAUCAAUCAUGGGCUGUCACACAGCUGCUCCUGGUGGUCCACGGGUCAGCCACAGUGUUCACAUUAGAAAGGUUCCUGAUCCCUUGCUGGCAGAUUUCAAGUGAGGAUAAAUCCAUCACACUGGUGGACAAACUGGUUUAAUUAAUGGGGUACUCUCACUGUUAGGGUUGAAUUGUUCUUCUUCAGGUUGAAGUUAUUGAGCUUGACCAUUAAUCUCUUGACUGUAAAAUAACCUCAUCUGUUAUCCCAAAAAAUCCCCCCAGAAACUGAACAUACUGCUGAAGACAUAAUGUCUUUGAUACUAUUUUGUGCAAAUUUAAACUACAGAAUUGAAGAGUAUAUUCAACCAAGAAAGGGAGUAGACAGGCCAGGGAAAUUGUAGCAGUGGAGAAUGACAGAAGUGAAGGCAGAGCCGAGAUGAAUCUCUUGAAGAAAAACUUGAAAGCCUGGAUGCUGAAGAUCUCAUGUCUCAUCUGUCACGACCACAAACCUACCUAGAAGAGGAGCAAAGAUCAAGUCUCCUACUCAUUUUGGGGCCUAUUUAUGCAAGAGAAAUCAGCAAAUAAAUAAAAUAUCAAAGAAAUCCAGAGAAAUAUUUAUAAAGAGAUCAAGUUGGUUGAAGUUAUCAUGAUUGAUUGAUGAGAAACAACACUGAGAAGGAAACAUAUAUGGCUCUCCCAGAGGGAGGAAUGGUGGCCCAGUGAUAAAAGUGCUCAUUUUCAUGCUCAACCUCAUGUAACUACUUGGGCUGCCUGUCUUGGUAACAGCAUGAAUUUAUACCAAGUCAGAAGUAAGAAAAUCAUACAGUUUUCAAGAAGGUGGGAAGGUAUUGAGACUGAGUACCUCCAGGCCUUGAGGGCAACUGUUGUUAAGUCCAUUUCUCAAAAAAGCCUAAGAAGCACGAGUUAAUAAGGCCAAGUCUCUAACCACAGCACUGCAGAUCUGCUGGGCUGCAGGGAGCAGUUCACAGAUCAUUGAUGGCAUUUGACUCUUCUGCCAGCUUUGAGAGGAGCACAUUUCUGCUACAGUCAGUUUGAUCACAUCUAUGACCACAGACCAUAAAAUUGCCUGGUAACUACAGGGCAGGGCACCACGGUCCAGUCUAACUCAGUUUGCUCCGCAGCCACAUUGAAUGGACGGGCUCAGCCUUUGUCCCUGUCUCCGAGCUGCUCCUCGCCAGCCACGCUCAGCCCCCACGCGCUGUAACUCACCAGGACGUGUGCAGUCUGAAUU